Macadamia integrifolia is the source of this 1646-nucleotide long non-coding RNA. RefSeq lists it as uncharacterized. NCBI's taxonomy places the organism in Eukaryota, Viridiplantae, Streptophyta, Magnoliopsida, Proteales, Proteaceae. The transcript has 2 exons. The record is from RefSeq and is a predicted model, not a curated record.
CAGCAGGGAUCGAGCGCUCCUUCAACUGGCUCUCUGCUUUUACGACAAGCCUAAGAUAAUCAUCGGAACGACGAUGAUAAGUGUCCGGCGUAGGUUCAUCGCCUCCGUUGGCGGUUUGGCUGGGAUAUUUUAAGUUGGUGAGACUUUCAGAGAGGUGGAGAAGGACAAGAGAGAGAAAGAGAGAGAAAUGGCAGCUGGUGUGUUUGACUGAUCUACAAUUCCAAAUCAAUGUUUCAGUGGGGACUUUAAGCUCAGAAGGCCAUCUCUCCCUCCUAGUUCAGUCACCUCAACAAGAUGACUGUGGAGCCUGAGCAAAGGGUACCAAAUUUUAUUGAGGCUGGGACAGACAUUGCCAGUGUUCACUGUGAGCAAUCUGCCACUAUACAUUUGCAUUGUACACUUUAUCAAGUAAGAUCGCUCUGGAUUUCAAGAUUAUCCCUGUUUCAGGAUUUUUCUUUCUUAUAUGCUAUGCCCAUGCACCCAUUUGAUGAGAGGACCCCACUUGGUUGGAUUUUAGUCAUGAUGACUGAUGCCCUGCUGUUGUUAAUGUGUCCCUUUGGAUAUAAUUAUGGUGAUAUAACUCAUUUGGGAUGGGUGAUGAUCAAGAUAGCCUGAAUGUAUUAGUCAUACUGUAGUAUGCCUACAUCCACAUUCUUUUAAAAUGUCUUGAAGAUGCUUGAAAAAUCUGUACGCAAUCUAUGUGAGUAUUCAUUAGUAGUGAUUAGGCAAGAUCCUUAUGACAUUCACUUGACCCAUUUUGGUGUCACACUGAUUCUUUUGUAGUGAAAUCAAGUAUUCAAAGGUUCACACAAGUUUGAUCCUAUGAACUGUCACUAAAAAACAUAGUUCCUAAGCAGCUGAAACAAGGAGGCAUCUGUAACAGGGUGGGGGAGGGAAUGAGGUGAAGAACAGAGAAAUCUUAGUCACUCCAAUAGAGCAAGGAGCGAGAAGAGGAGUUGACUAAGGCCGAGAGUCAUGCUCAAGACCAAGCUUGCUAAAGGCUUAAGGAUCAGCAAGCAGUAUGAAUCCAAGCAGCAGCAAGGACCGACCAAGCUGUCUUAGUGAGGGGCUGUCUUAUUCGAAAAGCAAAGGAGCAUGCAUGAGCUCUACGUUCAAAUCAGUCUAGGGUGCUCCCAGUGAUCGAUCGGUUACGAAAAGCCAGCGCCAAAAAGUGCCUCAGGAAUCCACCCGUCGGUCAGAGGCCGGUCCCUUCAUUCUCAUAAAGCCUGGUGAGGAGCUCUUUCUCGCUAUGUGUAUCAGUAGUAGAAAGGCUUUCUUAUUUUCUUUGAUCGUCUUGAAGUGGCUCUCCUUUGGAUUUUGAUCAGCAUCCUAACUCAACCUUUUUCCCUCCUAUUUGGAAGAAGUCAUUCAUUUAAAACCAACAGAUGGUCAUACUCUUCUUAUCACCAAUGGUAGUUUCAUGGAAUAAAGAAAAGAGGCUGGCUGGGCAUCUAUCUUCAUAUGUUAGAAUGAUGAAAAUAUUAUCUCAUUUUACUAGACUCAAAGAUGAGGCUGGAAAAGGCAUUAAGUGCUUAGAGAUAUGAAUGGAUUCUGUUCAAUUGGAACAAUGGUUAGAGCAAUAUAACUUCCAAGGAAUGGCCAUGGAAUUUGUUUUAUUUCCUUAUAGAUAUUCACUCUUUUUUUCA